Molecule: RNA transcript, 3102 nt
Organism: Bactrocera neohumeralis
Lineage: Eukaryota; Metazoa; Arthropoda; Insecta; Diptera; Tephritidae
Gene name: gelsolin-like
Exons: 12
Source: RefSeq, a predicted model, not a curated record
GUUAUCCGCCGGAGGUAAAAGUCAAUUUUUUUAAUACCAGAGAAAUACAAAACGACUUUAUAAUAGACGAAAUAUCGCGAGUGCUUUGUGGGAACCGUAUGUGGGAAAAAGGUAUAUCCGAGAUAAUUAAUUAAGCAUCGCGUGAUCGCAUUGUGGAGCGUGCCGAAAAGAGAGCAUUUAUAUAAUUACAACAACAUAAAAUCGUUCAUUUCAAAACAAAUCAAGCUCAAGCUCUGGUUUAACGGUAACUGAGGCUACGUUUGGUAGGAGCUGUGAAAAUGGCAGCGAAGAUGGCAGUAAUCUGCAGCAUUUUGGCUGUGUUCAUUCUGCUGCCCGGCGCUCCAGCCUUCCGCACGCAGUCGUCCGUGAUACAGCCCCCUGCCCAAAGUGACAAAUUCGCGCCCAGUCGCAGCGUCAUGCAUCGUGCGUUCGCCAAUGCCGGUCGAGCGCCUGGUUUGGAGAUUUGGCGCAUUGAGAACUUUGAACCUGUGGCUUACCCAAAAAAUAACUAUGGCAAAUUUUAUACCGGCGACUCAUUUAUUGUACUAAAUACAAUCGAACGCAAAGACAAAAAACUCUCCUGGGAUAUUCACUUUUGGUUGGGUUCGGAAACAUCGACGGACGAGGCUGGUGCUGCUGCUAUUUAUGCUGUGCAGCUGGAUGACCAGCUUAAUGGCGCACCGGUGCAGCACCGUGAAGUCCAGGAUCACGAAUCACAGCUAUUUCUCAGUUACUUCAGAAACGGCGUGCGUUAUGAGCAAGGUGGCGUUGGAACCGGCUUCAAGCAUGUGGAGACUAAUGCAGCCGGCGAGAAGCGUCUCUUCCAGGUGAAGGGCAAACGUAACGUGCGUGUCCGUCAAGUAAAUCUGUCCGUGUCGUCGAUGAACAAAGGAGAUUGCUUCAUUUUAGACGCCGGCAAUGAGAUUCUCGUUUAUGUCGGACCACAAGCGAAGCGCGUGGAAAAGUUGAAAGCGAUCAGCGCGGCAAAUCAAAUCCGCGAUCAAGAUCACAACGGACGUGCCAGGGUGGAGAUAACAGAUGAGUUCAGCUCGGAUUUGGACAAGCAGCACUUUUUUGAAGUUUUGGGCUCAGGCGCGCCAAACCAAGUGCCGGACGAGGCUGCUGAGCAAGAGGAUGGUGCUUUUGAGACGGCCGAUGCGAACUCAGUGUCUUUAUAUAAAGUAUCAGAUGCACGUGGUGGGUUGAAAAUCGAUCCCAUUGCCACAAAGCCUUUGCGUCAAGAAAUGCUAGACACCAACGACUGUUUUAUUUUGGAUACUGGUUCUGGCAUUUACGUUUGGGUGGGCCGUCGCUCGACACCAAAGGAAAAAACGGAUGCCUUGAGCAAGGCACAGGAAUUUUUAAGCACCAAAAAAUACCCCGCUUGGACACAGGUACAUCGCGUGGUCGAAGGCGCUGAAUCUGCGCCAUUUAAACAAUAUUUCGCUACUUGGCGCGAUGUAGGUAUGUCACACACACGUUUGGUGCGCUCUGCAAUGGGUUAUGACUCAGACGACUCGGAAUUAAGCGAACUUACCGAAGUGGAAGAACUCAAAAAGAGCGGAGGUAGUGCUAUUGGCUUUAUGCCCGAUAACGGUGAAAAUGAUAUCGUAGAAGCGGUACAAUAUGUUAGUAACCGCGGACGUGGAGACACAUUACGAAAUGCUAUUUCACUGACACCAAAAAUGCCGUUGUUGGGAUUCGCCGCUUAUGUAAUUGUUUACAAGUACAAUAACAAGAAUGGCGAAUCAGGCACGAUUAUCUACGUGUGGGAGGGUGUUAAAGCUACAGAGGUUGUAAAGGAACGUGCGUUCGAGGAUGGCUUGGCUUUGGCGCUUGAGCUCGAUGCAAUAUUGGUGCGUACCACGCAGAACAAUGAACCACGUCAUUUUCUCAAAAUAUUCAAGGGAAAAUUGGUUACAUCUUACACCGCUGUACCAAUCCAUCCACAACUAUAUCGCAUACGCGGCACUGAUGCCAGCGAUGUGCAUGCUAGCGAAGUGGUUGCGGACUCGUCGUCACUAGCCUCAAACGAUGUCUUUGCUUUGACUACAAUGAACCCGCAAAAAGUCUAUAUAUGGGUUGGCUUGGCCGCUAGCAAGUUCGAGAAGGAUAUGGCCAUCGAGCGUUUCUCAAAGUACUGGUCUGAUGCUGUUGUCGAAGUGGUUGAGGAGGGUGCUGAACCCGAUAACUUUUGGGAGCUUUUGCACGGUGAGGGCAUCUACGAUCGCAGCAUGACUGAGGCGACUAAGCCUCUACUUGAACCAAGGCUAUUCCACUGCCGUUUGAAUAGUGAACGCUUGCAGGUGGAGGAAAUUGCGCACUUCGAACAAGCUGAUCUCGACACAAAUGACAUAAUGCUAUUAGACGCCGGUGAUGAAGUCUAUAUGUGGGUCAGCACAGGCGCCACAGCCGAGGAAAACGGCAGAAUUCUAGAUUUGGCGAAGAAAUAUAUUAAGGAUGAGCCCACAGAACGCACAAUCGAUACUACCACUGUCAUACGCAUUGAACAGAACCACGAACCUCGCGCCUUUACUCGCAUGUUCCCCACUUGGGAAGCUAAUUACUGGCAGUAAUGAUUUUUUCAACUAUUGAACGCUUUAUUGGACAUACACACUAUUCAAAAACACAAACAAACAUUCAACAUUACAAAAAAGAUCUGCCUGCAAUAUACAUACAAACAUAUCUGUUUGUUCUAAAUAUUUUAACGAUUCUAUAACAAACUGUAGUAACUCACAAAAUAAUCAUUCCUAACAUGCCACACCUUCGUUUGAAGACCUUAGGAAGCAAAUUUUGGAAACCAACGACAUCAUCGACUCCAAUGAGCUUUAACUGCGUUUCUAACCUUACAAAACGUCUCGAAUACCUUAUGAAUAAACAAUGAACAAUUAACUUUAUACAAUAAAUACAUCGAAUUUAUUUUUAAAUGGUGAAAAAAAUGUAUUUUAUUUUUUAACCUUAGUUUUUUGUAAAGAAAUGUUUGGCGAUAUAUACAUACAUACAUAAUAUGUAUGAAAACAUUUGCAGCACUUUUAUUCGUCGCUCCAAAUGACCAUAAGAAAAGCAAAAAUAAAUCGAAACAUAAUAAUUUUAAAAAUUCAA